This 496-nucleotide ribosomal RNA is filed under the name uncultured bacterium. Its description in RNAcentral is "partial 16S ribosomal RNA". It matches the Rfam family "Bacterial small subunit ribosomal RNA", at positions 28 to 506 of the family's 1533-position model. The record is from RNAcentral.
GACGAACGCUGGCGGCGUGCCUAAUACAUGCAAGUAGAACGCUGAAGCGAGGAGCUUGCUCUUCUUGGAUGAGUUGCGAACGGGUGAAUAACGCGUAGGUAACCUGCCUGGUAGCGGGGGAUAACUAUUGGAAACGAUAGCUAAUACCGCAUAAAAUUGAUUAUUGCAUGAUAAUUAAUUGAAAGAUGCAACUGCAUCACUACCAGAUGGACCUGCGCUGUAUUAGCUAGUUGGUGAGGUAACGGCUCACCAAGGCGACGAUACAUAGCCGACCUGAGAGGGUGAUCGGCCACACUGGGACUGAGACACGGCCCAGACUCCUACGGGAGGCAGCAGUAGGGAAUCUUCGGCAAUGGGGGGAACCCUGACCGAGCAACGCCGCGUGAGUGAAGAAGGUUUUCGGAUCGUAAAGCUCUGUUGUAAGAGAAGAACGGGUGUGAGAGUGGAAAGUUCACACUGUGACGGUAUCUUACCAGAAAGGGACGGCUAACUACGU